CUACGGGGGGCUGCAGUGAGGAAUAUUGCACAAUGGGGGAAACCCUGAUGCAGCAACGCCGCGUGGAGGAUGACGCAUUUCGGUGUGUAAACUCCUUUUAUAUGUCAAGAAAAUGACGGUAGCAUAUGAAUAAGCACCGGCUAACUCCGUGCCAGCAGCCGCGGUAAUACGGAGGGUGCAAGCGUUAUUCGGAACCACUGGGCGUAAAGGACGCGUAGGCGGGUUUGCAAGUCAGGUGUGAAAUCCUAUGGCUCAACCAUAGAACUGCACUUGAGACUGCGAACCUAGAGUAUGGAAGGGGCAGAUGGAAUUAGUGGUGUAGGGGUAAAAUCCGUAGAUAUCACUAGGAAUACCAAAAGCGAAGGCGAUCUGCUGGGACAUUACUGACGCUAAGGCGUGAAAGCGUGGGGAGCAAACAGGAUUAGAUACCCGAGUAGUC
RNAcentral lists this ribosomal RNA (439 nucleotides) under uncultured bacterium. RNAcentral describes it as "partial 16S ribosomal RNA". It matches the Rfam family "Bacterial small subunit ribosomal RNA", at positions 339 to 795 of the family's 1533-position model. The record is from RNAcentral.